Molecule: ribosomal RNA, 274 nt
Filed under: uncultured bacterium
Lineage: Bacteria
Description: partial 16S ribosomal RNA
Rfam family: Bacterial small subunit ribosomal RNA
Source: RNAcentral
AUACGAAGGGGGCUAGCGUUGUUCGGAAUUACUGGGCGUAAAGCGCGCGUAGGCGGAUUGGUCAGUUAGGGGUGAAAUCCCAGGGCUUAACCCUGGAACUGCCUCUAAUACUGCCAGUCUUGAGUUCGCGAGAGGUGAGUGGAAUUCCUAGUGUAGAGGUGAAAUUCGUAGAUAUUAGGAAGAACACCAGUGGCGAAGGCGGCUCACUGGCCCGAUACUGACGCUGAGGCGCGAAAGCGUGGGGAGCAAACAGAAUUAGAAACCCUAGUAGUCC